RNAcentral lists this ribosomal RNA (465 nucleotides) under uncultured Klebsiella sp. RNAcentral's name for it is "bacterial SSU rRNA". It matches the Rfam family "Bacterial small subunit ribosomal RNA", at positions 338 to 795 of the family's 1533-position model. The record is from RNAcentral. Lineage: Bacteria; Pseudomonadati; Pseudomonadota; Gammaproteobacteria; Enterobacterales; Enterobacteriaceae.
GCUACGGGGGGCAGCAGUGGGGAAUAUUGCACAAUGGGCGCAAGCCUGAUGCAGCCAUGCCGCGUGUGUGAAGAAGGCCUUCGGGUUGUAAAGCACUUUCAGCGGGGAGGAAGGCGUUAAGGUUAAUAACCUUGGCGAUUGACGUUACCCGCAGAAGAAGCACCGGCUAACUCCGUGCCAGCAGCCGCGGUAAUACGGAGGGUGCAAGCGUUAAUCGGAAUUACUGGGCGUAAAGCGCACGCAGGCGGUCUGUCAAGUCGGAUGUGAAGUCCCCGGGCUCAACCUGGGAACUGCAUUCGAAACUGGCAGGCUAGAGUCUUGUAGAGGGGGGUAGAAUUCCAGGUGUAGCGGUGAAAUGCGUAGAGAUCUGGAGGAAUACCGGUGGCGAAGGCGGCCCCCUGGACAAAGACUGACGCUCAGGUGCGAAAGCGUGGGGAGCAAACAGGAUUAGAUACCCGUGUAGUC